GUUUCUAUUCUCGUUUGAAUUGUUUUACAUUGUCAUUUCGGUGCCUUUUAUGGUUGACUGUGAGGUAUGACCUUUUGCUCAUUGUUGAAGACCGUAUUGUGACCUAUAGUUGUUAAUUCCUGUGUCAUCUGAUCUCUUGUGGAGAGUUCUCAUUGUCACUCAAGCCAUAUUAGGUAAAGGGUGGGGAUCUCGUUAACAAAUUUAACCCGCCUUAUUCUGUAUGUAGGAGCCUGUAUUUCAGUGAUUGUCGUUUGUUUAUGUGUUACAUAUUUGUUUUUGUACAUAAAUUAGGCCGUUAGUUCUCUCGUUUGAAUUGUUUUACAUUGUCAUUUCGUAGCCUUUUAUAGCUGACUAUUGUGUAUGGACUUUGCUAAUUGUUGAAGGCCGUAUGGUGACCUAUAGUUGUUAAUUUCUGAGUCAUUUGAUCUCUUGUAGAGAGUUCUCA
Molecule: long non-coding RNA, 445 nt
Filed under: Mytilus galloprovincialis (Mediterranean mussel)
Lineage: Eukaryota; Metazoa; Mollusca; Bivalvia; Mytilida; Mytilidae
Source: RNAcentral